Molecule: long non-coding RNA, 615 nt
Organism: Micropterus dolomieu (smallmouth bass)
Lineage: Eukaryota; Metazoa; Chordata; Actinopteri; Centrarchiformes; Centrarchidae
Exons: 3
Source: RefSeq, a predicted model, not a curated record
UGAGAAAAUGUAGUUCCAAGGGAAAGGGCUGUCUGACAGCAAGGUAAAGCGCUGAAAAUAUUCAACACUGAAACUGAUUCCUGUGGGGCUCUUUUCAAGUGGCUAAAACACGUUAGCUGCUGACCCUGUCCACAGCAGUACGUUGCUUCUGUGCCGGAACAACUCUCUCCUUCUCCAAACUGGGAUGUGCCAACGCCAUCUACUACAGUAUUCUCGUUGGUAGAGUGGCACGUGACUGCAGACGUGACAUCUGACAUCUUCCCAUCACGACUUAUGGCCAGUACAAUGACAGGAAGUGACACCGGCUGGUUGUGUCAAUGCUUUGAUAUGGAAGAGCUGCCUCUGGGACUGAGCCACUCUGUCCUCUACACAUCUGGAUGAAUGAUCAAAGGGUACAAGGAGAACGACAGAUGUUGGGGAAUGACACACAGAAAUGAAUUGAACUGCAAAGAAAACACUAAAAAGAGUCUCUUUACAUGUUUACAUUCUCUGUAACAUACCCUAGUGGUGUCAGCUGUAGGUCGUCCACUGUGUUGAUGAAGGAGUAGUAAAGUUGUAUUUGGUUUCUCACAGGGCCCCGUUGGUAUCUGAGAGCCCGUGGAACAUUCCUCUGGG